AAAACUGUGACUAGAGGGAAAUUAUAUAGUUGAGUAGCUCUACUCGGUAUACAUCUCUAUAAAUUUAGUCAUGAAAAGGAGGAGGGCUUUCUUCUAUCUACUUUUUGCUAAAUCUCUCGUCAGUAUUUAUCCAUUAUUUUUUUCUCUACCAUUCUUUUUCUACAAUUCUCUACACUUUAUCUUUUACAAAUAUUUAGUUCUUGAUUUUCAUUAUUCUUUUAAGAUCUAAUAAACUUUUCAAAAAGUGGAGAGUGAGCACCAAUUAUCUUCAUGCUUUAAAGAAUUUUUAGAUUUUGAGGGAUUUUUUUUAAUUUUAUUUUAUGUCUUUUUGUUUAAUUACAAUGAUCAUUGGAUUAAAUAUGUUACACUAAUUUUCAUAAAUGUUUAGUUAAACUUUUCUACUUAUGUAUUAACCUUGUUAUUUAUUUAUUUAAUCAGUAGUUUUUUACCUUCAUAUUUUUAUUAGUUUCAGUUAUUAUUAUUAGUUGACCAUCAUAUUAAUUUAAUAAUAGUGAUUGUUAUAAAAAUAUUUAGGUUGAAUGUAUUAAAGAAACCAUAUUUGCUUCAAUCUAUGUUAGUAAAAGAAAUUUUAGUUGCAUGAUUAGUUUGAGUGGCUAGAGGAAAAGGUACACCACCAUCUCAUUCAUUACAUCUAGGCUUAAAGUAAAACAAAGAGAUUACUAAGUAAUUGGCUAGGCUAAUUAGUGUAUUUAACAUAUAGUUUUAAAUCAUAAGCAUUUACAUUGCAUGUUUAUUUAUAGUUUAUUUUAUGAAUAUUCUAUUUUCUCAAAAUGCUGGUUUAGAGUGUUUAAGUUUACUUUUAUUAUUUUUUUGUUGAUAAUUGAUCAUUAUAAUAAAUGACAUUAUAGUUCCUUGAGAGAUCGACCUCGAGGUGAAUUUACCAUUUUAUUAUACAAAUAAUUCGUACACUUGCAAGUACUAACUUAGAGACAUCAAUAAUUCAGUCAUUUAUCUUUACAAUUGCG
Molecule: long non-coding RNA, 986 nt
Filed under: Ricinus communis (castor bean)
Lineage: Eukaryota; Viridiplantae; Streptophyta; Magnoliopsida; Malpighiales; Euphorbiaceae
Description: long non-coding RNA (RCOM_LNC001834)
Source: RNAcentral